GCAACUCGCCUGUAUGAAGUCGGAAUUGCUAGUAAUCGUGGAUCAGCAUGCCACGGUGAAUACGUUCCCGGGCCUUGUACACACCGCCCGUCACACCAUGAGAGCCGGGAACACCCGAAGUCCGUAGUCUAACCUAUAUGGAGGACGCGGCCGAAGGUGGGUUUGGUAAUUGGGGUGAAGUCGUAACAAGGUACC
Molecule: ribosomal RNA, 195 nt
Filed under: uncultured bacterium
Lineage: Bacteria
Description: partial 16S ribosomal RNA
Rfam family: Bacterial small subunit ribosomal RNA
Source: RNAcentral